This 591-nucleotide ribosomal RNA is filed under the name Saccharomyces cerevisiae (brewer's yeast). RNAcentral's name for it is "eukaryotic LSU rRNA". It matches the Rfam family "Eukaryotic large subunit ribosomal RNA", at positions 62 to 667 of the family's 3401-position model. The record is from RNAcentral. Lineage: Eukaryota; Fungi; Ascomycota; Saccharomycetes; Saccharomycetales; Saccharomycetaceae.
AAACCAACCGGGAUUGCCUUAGUAACGGCGAGUGAAGCGGCAAAAGCUCAAAUUUGAAAUCUGGUACCUUCGGUGCCCGAAUUGUAAUUUGGAGAGGGCAACUUUGGGGCCGUUCCUUGUCUAUGUUCCUUGGAACAGGACGUCAUAGAGGGUGAGAAUCCCGUGUGGCGAGGAGUGCGGUUCUUUGUAAAGUGCCUUCGAAGAGUCGAGUUGUUUGGGAAUGCAGCUCUAAGUGGGUGGUAAAUUCCAUCUAAAGCUAAAUAUUGGCGAGAGACCGAUAGCGAACAAGUACAGUGAUGGAAAGAUGAAAAGAACUUUGAAAAGAGAGUGAAAAAGUACGUGAAAUUGUUGAAAGGGAAGGGCAUUUGAUCAGACAUGGUGUUUUGUGCCCUCUGCUCCUUGUGGGUAGGGGAAUCUCGCAUUUCACUGGGCCAGCAUCAGUUUUGGUGGCAGGAUAAAUCCAUAGGAAUGUAGCUUGCCUCGGUAAGUAUUAUAGCCUGUGGGAAUACUGCCAGCUGGGACUGAGGACUGCGACGUAAGUCAAGGAUGCUGGCAUAAUGGUUAUAUGCCGCCCGUCUUGAAACACGGACC